AGCAGCCGCGGUAAUUCCAGCUCCAAUAGCGUAUAUUAAAGUUGUUGCAGUUAAAAAGCUCGUAGUUGAAUUUCGGGAUCAAUAUGUUUGGUCGUGCCUCGGUACGUACUAGCUUAUUGGUUUCUCCUUUCUGAAGAACCAUGAUGUCAUUCAUUUGGUGUCGUGGGGAAUCAGGACUGUUACUUUGAAAAAAUUAGAGUGUUUAAAGCAGGCUCACGCUUGAAUACAUUAGCAUGGAAUAAUGAAAUAGGACGUUUGAUUCUAUUUUGUUGGUUUCUAGGAUCGACGUAAUGAUUAAUAGGGAUAGUUGGGGGCAUUAGUAUUCAAUUGUCAGAGGUGAAAUUCUUGGAUUUAUUGAAGACUAACUACUGCGAAAGCAUUUGCCAAGGAUGUUUUCAUUAAUCAAGAACGAAAGUUAGGGGAUCGAAGACGAUCAGAUACCGUCGUAGUCUUAACCAUAAACUAUGCCGACUAGGGAUCGGAUGAUGUUAAUUUUUUAAUGACUCAUUCGGCGCCUUAC
RNAcentral lists this unclassified non-coding RNA (520 nucleotides) under uncultured Glomus. Its description in RNAcentral is "SSU rRNA". It matches the Rfam family "Eukaryotic small subunit ribosomal RNA", at positions 569 to 1091 of the family's 1831-position model. Lineage: Eukaryota; Fungi; Glomeromycota; Glomeromycetes; Glomerales; Glomeraceae. The record is from RNAcentral.